CAAGUCUGGUGCCAGCAGCCGCGGUAAUUCCAGCUCCCAAUAGCGUAUAUUAAAGUUGUUGCAGUUAAGAAGCUCGUAGUUGAAUUUCGGGGUUAGUAGGUUGGUCAUGCCUCUGGUAUGCACUGGCCUCACUGAUUCCUCCUUCCUGAUGAGCCGUAAUGCCAUUAAUUUGGUGUUGCGGGGAACUUGGACUGUUACUUUGAAAAAAUUAGAGUGUUUAAAGCAAGCUAACGCUUGAAUACAUUAGCAUGGAAUAAUGAAAUAGGACGUUCGAUCCUAUUUUGUUGGUUUCUAGGAUUGACGUAAUGAUUAAUAGGGAUAGUUGGGGGCAUUAGUAUUCAAUUGUCAGAGGUGAAAUUCUUGGAUUUAUUGAAGACUAACUACUGCGAAAGCAUUUGCCAAGGAUGUUCUCAUUAAUCAAGAACGAAAGUUAGGGGAUCGAAGACGAUCAGAUACCGUCGUAGUCUUAACCAUAAACUAUGCCGACUAGGGAUCGGAUGAUGUUAAUUUUUUAAUGACUCA
Molecule: ribosomal RNA, 522 nt
Filed under: vouchered mycorrhizae (Glomus)
Lineage: Eukaryota; Fungi; Glomeromycota; Glomeromycetes; Glomerales; Glomeraceae
Description: SSU rRNA
Rfam family: Eukaryotic small subunit ribosomal RNA
Source: RNAcentral